ACUCCUUCCAUUUAUUCGUAAUGUAUUUAUGUGAAAAAAUCAAUUAUGAUUAAUCUCUAAUCAAUCUCUGAAAAAUCAAAUCUAAAUUAAUCAACUAUACCAUAAGUUCCUCAAUCACAUUAAUUAAUAUUUCCAUAUGUUUAAAAAUUACAUUAAUUAACGUUACCAUACCUUGCCCAAAAAACCAAGUACAUGCCCUCCUAGGGCUCACCGCCGCCGCGACUGCCCUCCUCCCCUCGACCCGCCUGCCACGCGACGUCAUGGCGCCUCUGCAUCCUCAUCGAGCUCCUCCUCCUCAUGCCCCAGUCCUGCAUGCAACUCCAAGGACCACACCGGUCUCGUCGCCGCCGUACUCCGAUGCGCCUCGUUCUAAUCAACAUCGGGGCCUCCGCCGCGUCCAGGCUUGUGGCGGCGCACUGUCGUUGAGGCCAUGGCCGGUACCGCGACCACAUCAGCCUUCGUCUUACUCCAGGUCAUCGUCCUCGUCGACUUCGCCUUCGCCAUGGUGCUGGCGUCCUCCUCCUAGGAUUCCUGCAUCGGAGCUGGCAAGCAGCAAGCUACCAGGCGAGCAUGGGGAACUACCUGAUAGCAGCAGCGGCCGUUGAGAGCCACGUGAAGCAACAGCUAAGGCUGGAUAGCCACAUCCUCCUCCAGAUCCCAUCUCUUUUUUCCUCAUCUGACGCCCAAGCGCCACCAUCCGCGUUGGACCACCGUCAACAUCCUCGUGGUAUUGAUGAUCCUCCUCACGCUGUACUCUCCAUCUCUCACCUCUUUUGGGUGGCGAUGACUGUAGAUCGAGGGCAACGGCGGCGGGACCUAGGCCAGCACCGGCGGCGACCCAGCGGCCGGAGCAAGUAAUUAGCCCGUCCAUGGCUGCCAUUAGCAAGGUCUGGCAGAAGGCCAAGUACUCCUAUUGUAAUUUGUAAUUGGUGCACACAAGAUGACGAUAAUGGCCACCAACGACACAAGCACAUCAGGUGGCCAGCAGCCUGACUCGUGGGUGUUGGCGGCUAAUCUAUCAGAUCUGUGAAUAUAUUGCAUUUUGAUAAAAUUCUACUGCCAUACACAUCUAUGGUUGUGUGCUUGCCUCCUUCAACCAAAUGGAACCAAAGUUUGCAUUGUGGUGGCUGGCAUAUGAAAUCCUAAGAUAACCAUAGUUGUGGAAGUCCUAUUUUUUUAUCCUGCGAUGUUGUAUAGAAAAGCCGCAGGAGCAAAAUCCUCAGCUUCUCACGUAAUUUUAUAAUCUAACAAUUCCAACUUGUUGCAUGCAUCAGGUAAUCUGCCACUCAAGCCUCUAUGUAUGUUUGUUUGCCAUUUUAUUUGUUCCAUUGGAGUUAUGACGCUCUCCAUGCAUA
Long non-coding RNA from Aegilops tauschii subsp. strangulata, 1355 nucleotides. RefSeq lists it as uncharacterized. The record is from RefSeq and is a predicted model, not a curated record. Lineage: Eukaryota; Viridiplantae; Streptophyta; Magnoliopsida; Poales; Poaceae.